This is a non-coding RNA of Phrynosoma platyrhinos (Desert horned lizard), 72 nucleotides long. NCBI's taxonomy places the organism in Eukaryota, Metazoa, Chordata, Lepidosauria, Squamata, Phrynosomatidae. The record is from the annotation of a GenBank genome assembly.
GCCAGCAUAGUGUAAUGGUUUAAGUGUUGGACUAUGACUCUGGAGACCAGGGUUCAAAUUCCUGCUCAGCCG